Molecule: long non-coding RNA, 1187 nt
Organism: Carassius carassius (crucian carp)
Lineage: Eukaryota; Metazoa; Chordata; Actinopteri; Cypriniformes; Cyprinidae
Exons: 2
Source: RefSeq, a predicted model, not a curated record
GUGUCUUUCAUAUUUAUGUUUUGGCAUGCAACUAACCCAAAAAUUUGAGUUGGGGAUGUUUCUGAAAUUUGUUUGAUCUGACACAAAAAAAUGAAACUAUAAUAAGGUCACAGGUUUGUACUGGAUUGGUUUCAGUGUUGUGUAGAUGAUGACUGUGAAUGUCACGACCAAUGAAAUCUUCAGAAUCUGUGGUGGGCGGAGUUUGUGCUUGUGUUAAAAAGGUGAGGAAUAUUCACAUGAUCCUACAGGACUGGAGCAGAAGUCGAAGAGGAGGUUGACGACAUGAGUGUUUCAGAACCAUCCAGAAUAAAACAUGAAGAUACUGAGGAACAAACAGUCUGGAUGGAAGUAAAACAGCAAAGACAUGAGGUGAAUGAAGUGGAGGAGGAACAUUGUAAAGUCAAAACUUCAAGACAAAAAGACAAACAGCUUCACACCUGCUCACAGUGUGGAAAGAGUUUCAGACACAAAGGAAGCCUUAAGACGCACAUGAGGAUCCACACUGGAGAGAAACCACACACUUGUCCUCAGUGUGGGAAGAGUUUUACUGAUUCAUCAGGUCUCCGUUAUCAUCUUCACAUUCACUCUGGAGAAAAGCCUUUUAACUGUGAUCAUUGUUGUAAAAAGUUCAUUUCUUUAUCACAUCUAAAAGCACACCAGAAAGUUCAUUCAGAUGGGAAGCCUUAUGUGUGUUCUUACUGUGGAAAGUGUUUUUCACUGCGGAACAACUGUAAACGGCACCAGAAAAUACACACCGGUGAGAGAGAUCAUGUGUGUUGUGAGUGUGGGAUGAGCUUUACUACAGCUGCUGAUUUAAAAAUGCAUUUAAGAGUUCAUACUGGAGAGAAACCGUACAAGUGCUCCUACUGUGACAAGAGUUUUAGUCGGUCCACACACUUAAAAAAAACAUGAGCGAGUUCAUACUGGAGAGAAACCAUACCACUGUACUCAGUGUGGAAAGAGUUUCGCACGUACCGACGGUCUCAAAAAUCAUAUGCUCUGUCACGCUGGAGAAAAGCCAUUUAACUGUGAUCAGUGCGGUAACAAGUUUAUUUCUUCAUUACUUUUAAAAAAACACCUGAAAAUUCAUUCAGAGGAGAAGCCUUAUGUGUGUUCUUACUGUGGAAAGUGUUUUUCACUGCCGAACUACUGUAAACGGCACCAGAAAAUACACACCGGUGAGAGAG